This 253-nucleotide ribosomal RNA is filed under the name uncultured bacterium. RNAcentral describes it as "partial 16S ribosomal RNA". It matches the Rfam family "Archaeal small subunit ribosomal RNA", at positions 474 to 727 of the family's 1478-position model. The record is from RNAcentral.
UACCAGCACCCCGAGUGGUCGGGACGAUUAUUGGGCCUAAAGCGUCCGUAGCCGGUUUUACAAGUCCUCCGUUAAAUCCAGCUGCUUAACCGAUGGGCUGCGGAGGAUACUAUAAGACUAGGAGGCAGGAGAGGCAAGCGGUACUCAGUGGGUAGGGGUAAAAUCCGUUGAUCCAGUGAAGACCACCAGUGGCGAAGGCGGCUUGCCAGAAUGCGCUCGACGGUGAGGGAUGAAAGCUGGGGGAGCAAACCGG